This is a non-coding RNA of Mycena leptocephala, 88 nucleotides long. Lineage: Eukaryota; Fungi; Basidiomycota; Agaricomycetes; Agaricales; Mycenaceae. The record is from the annotation of a GenBank genome assembly.
GCGGACGUAGUGCACGGCGCACCGCUGCAUUUCAUUAGGAAAGCGUAAACUUGAAGCAGUUGUAGGGGUUCGACUCCCUGCGUCCGCA